GAUGAACGCUGGCGGCGUGCCUAAUACAUGCAAGUCGAGCGAACAGACGAGGAGCUUGCUCCUCUGACGUUAGCGGCGGACGGGUGAGUAACACGUGGAUAACCUACCUAUAAGACUGGGAUAACUUCGGGAAACCGGAGCUAAUACCGGAUAAUAUAUUGAACCGCAUGGUUCAAUAGUGAAAGACGGUUUUGCUGUCACUUAUAGAUGGAUCCGCGCCGCAUUAGCUAGUUGGUAAGGUAACGGCUUACCAAGGCAACGAUGCGUAGCCGACCUGAGAGGGUGAUCGGCCACACGGGAGCUGAGACACGCUCCAGACUCCUACGGGAGGCAGCAGUAGGGAAUCGUCCGCAGUGGGCGAAAGCCUGACGGAGCAAGGCCGCGUGAGUGAUGAAGGUCUUCGGAUCGUAAAACUCUGUUAUUAGGGAAGAACAAAUGUGUAAGUAACUAUGCACGUCUUGACGGUACCUAAUCAGAAAGCCACGGCUAACUACGUG
This 497-nucleotide ribosomal RNA is filed under the name uncultured bacterium. RNAcentral describes it as "partial 16S ribosomal RNA". It matches the Rfam family "Bacterial small subunit ribosomal RNA", at positions 28 to 507 of the family's 1533-position model. The record is from RNAcentral.